CGGGAAUGGAAACUCUGAGAGGGACCACGUCUCUUUGUAUUUCCCCAGACUGAAUUGUUCACAGCUGGCAGCGUGGCCGAAUGACUCACCCCUCCCGGAAGGAUGCCCAUGUCAACCCAGCAGCUUCAUGCAGGUCAACGCUUGUUCCCUCAGCACCCAGAAGGUUUAGAAACUACUUAGAAGAAGCCAGUGUGAGGAAUAAAUGGGCCCAGCUGCACAAGGACGUAUCCUUGAGAUGAGAGGAUGGCCAGGAGCUGGAGAAGAAGCCAAGAAUAAAAAGGGUUUAAAGAGAGGACAGACUGUUGGCUUUACUGUGUCUACAUCUGAAAGGCACCCAUUCUGCUGGGAGAAAUGACGGCAUGGCCAUUAGGCCCGUCUGACAUCCCACACAGUGGUUCCUUAGGGUCUUGGAAGCUGGCAAGAACUAUCUCUCUGCAGAAGUAGCUGCCUGGGUUUCCAGAAAUCCUGGGGCAGUAAUUUGAGGCUGCUGAGAGAUGUGGCACUGACACCGCUGACAUCCGUCUUCCGUUUGCAACAAGCUGUGGCAACUCCACUUUCCCCACCCCACCUCCACCAACUGGCUUCUCUUCUGCUGGGGGUAGGGGUGGGGACUGAAUGGCUGGGCAGUCGGUGGUGGGUGGGGAGGGGCAUUCCUUCCUCAUUUACCAUGAUCUGUCCCCCUCAGCCUAAGGGAAGCAUUUGGGAAGAUCAGCAUUCAGUAGGGCUUCUGAACCUCGCUUAGUACGUGCCUUGACUCAGUAAAAAACCAAAUAAUUGCAAAAUAAUAAAUAAAGAAAGAAAAUAAAAA
This 808-nucleotide long non-coding RNA is filed under the name Cercocebus atys (sooty mangabey). Its description in RNAcentral is "lncRNA (ENSCATG00000045833.1)". The record is from RNAcentral. Lineage: Eukaryota; Metazoa; Chordata; Mammalia; Primates; Cercopithecidae.